ACUCCUGCGGGAGGCAGCAGUGGGGAAUAUUGCACAAUGGGCGCAAGCCUGAUGCAGCCAUGCCGCGUGUAUGAAGAAGGCCUUCGGGUUGUAAAGUACUUUCAGCGGGGAGGAAGGCAAUACGGUUAAUAACCGUGUUGAUUGACGUUACCCGCAGAAGAAGCACCGGCUAACUCCGUGCCAGCAGCCGCGGUAAUACGGAGGGUGCAAGCGUUAAUCGGAAUUACUGGGCGUAAAGCGCACGCAGGCGGUCUGUCAAGUCGGAUGUGAAAUCCCCGGGCUCAACCUGGGAACUGCAUUCGAAACUGGCAGGCUUGAGUCUUGUAGAGGGGGGUAGAAUUCCAGGUGUAGCGGUGAAAUGCGUAGAGAUCUGGAGGAAUACCGGUGGCGAAGGCGGCCCCCUGGACAAAGACUGACGCUCAGGUGCGAAAGCGUGGGGAGCAAACAGGAUUAGAAACCCUAGUAGUCCCA
This 471-nucleotide ribosomal RNA is filed under the name uncultured organism. RNAcentral's name for it is "partial 16S ribosomal RNA". It matches the Rfam family "Bacterial small subunit ribosomal RNA", at positions 335 to 797 of the family's 1533-position model. The record is from RNAcentral.